RNAcentral lists this ribosomal RNA (408 nucleotides) under uncultured Rhodobacter sp. RNAcentral's name for it is "bacterial SSU rRNA". It matches the Rfam family "Bacterial small subunit ribosomal RNA", at positions 29 to 482 of the family's 1533-position model. Lineage: Bacteria; Pseudomonadati; Pseudomonadota; Alphaproteobacteria; Rhodobacterales. The record is from RNAcentral.
AACGAACGCUGGCGGCAGGCCUAACACAUGCAAGUCGAACGGGAUCUUCGGAUCUAGUGGCGGACGGGUGAGUAACGCGUGGGAACGUGCCCUUUGGUUCGGAAUAGCCCCGGGAAACUGGGAGUAAUACCGGAUAAGCUCUUCGGAGGAAAGAUUUAUCGCCAAAGGAUCGGCCCGCGUUGGAUUAGGUAGUUGGUGGGGUAAUGGCCUACCAAGCCGACGAUCCAUAGCUGGUUUGAGAGGAUGAUCAGCCACACUGGGACUGAGACACGGCCCAGACUCCUACGGGAGGCAGCAGUGGGGAAUCUUAGACAAUGGGGGAAACCCUGAUCUAGCCAUGCCGCGUGAGCGAUGAAGGCCUUAGGGUUGUAAAGCUCUUUCAGUGGGGAAGAUAAUGACGGUACCCAC